UAGGGAAUCUUCCACAAUGGGGCGAAAGCCUGAUGGAGCAACGCCGCGUGUGUGAUGAAGGGUUUCGGCUCGUAAAACACUGUUGUAAGAGAAGAAUGACAUUGAGAGUAACUGUUCAAUGUGUGACGGUAUCUUACCAGAAAGGAACGGCUAAAUACGUGCCAA
RNAcentral lists this ribosomal RNA (165 nucleotides) under uncultured bacterium. RNAcentral's name for it is "partial 16S ribosomal RNA". It matches the Rfam family "Bacterial small subunit ribosomal RNA", at positions 355 to 511 of the family's 1533-position model. The record is from RNAcentral.